GACACGACUCUCGACAAUGGAUAUCUCGGCUCUCGCAUCGAUGAAGAGCGCAGCGAAAUGCGAUACGUGGUGCGAAUUGCAGAAUCCCGCGAACCAUCGAGUCUUUGAACGCAAGUUGCGCCCGAGGCCAGUCGGUCGAGGGCACGUCCGCCUGGGCGUCGAGC
RNAcentral lists this ribosomal RNA (164 nucleotides) under Vanda malipoensis. RNAcentral describes it as "5.8S ribosomal RNA". It matches the Rfam family "5.8S ribosomal RNA". From Rfam's summary of the family: 5.8S ribosomal RNA (5.8S rRNA) is a component of the large subunit of the eukaryotic ribosome. It is transcribed by RNA polymerase I as part of the 45S precursor that also contains 18S and 28S rRNA. Functionally, it is thought that 5.8S rRNA may be involved in ribosome translocation. The record is from RNAcentral. Lineage: Eukaryota; Viridiplantae; Streptophyta; Magnoliopsida; Asparagales; Orchidaceae.